This 253-nucleotide ribosomal RNA is filed under the name uncultured bacterium. Its description in RNAcentral is "partial 16S ribosomal RNA". It matches the Rfam family "Bacterial small subunit ribosomal RNA", at positions 524 to 776 of the family's 1533-position model. The record is from RNAcentral.
UACGUAGGUGGCAAGCGUUGUCCGGAUUUACUGGGUGUAAAGGGCGUGUAGCCGGGCUUACAAGUCAGAUGUGAAAUCCGGGGGCUCAACCCCCGAACUGCAUUUGAAACUGUAGGUCUUGAGUAUCGGAGAGGCAGGCGGAAUUCCUAGUGUAGCGGUGAAAAGCGUAGAUAUUAGGAGGAACACCAGUGGCGAAGGCGGCCUGCUGGACGACAACUGACGGUGAGGCGCGAAAGCGUGGGGAGCAAACAGG